UCCCCAGACUGAGGGACCGGUUCCCGUACGCAGGAUUUGCUGGAGGGUCCUGGGGGACCGAUCCCUCAAGGGAGAGACCGGUCCCUCCACCCGAAAACUGCCCAGACUAGGGCAGUGCAUAGAAUGCAAUGUUGAGGGGCCUAUGUGGAUAUUGUUACCUGGGAGGGCUUUUAGGCCAUUUUCUCCCUCUCUUUCCCUCACUUCCUACGCUCUCACACUCUCUAGAAAGAGAAGAAGAAGAAGAAACAAGAGGAGAAGAAGGAGAAGGAGAAGAAGGAGAGAUUGCUUAGUGGACUUGGGACUUCUUCCUCAACCUCUCCUCUCACCCUUGGAGGCUUGAGCUUGCUAGUGGAGCUUUGUGGAGGAUCAAACUUUAACCCUAGAGGAUUUUGAGCUUGGUUUGGAGCAUCCUAGAGGUAUGUGACUAGUUUUCUUCCUCUAGAUCCUAGUUUUGGAGUUUUAAACUAGAUGAAACCCUAGAUUUGAAUUUUAGGAUUUAUUUUGGAGAUUUUUG
RNAcentral lists this long non-coding RNA (514 nucleotides) under Ananas comosus (pineapple). Its description in RNAcentral is "long non-coding RNA (ACOM_LNC031446)". The record is from RNAcentral. Lineage: Eukaryota; Viridiplantae; Streptophyta; Magnoliopsida; Poales; Bromeliaceae.